Molecule: long non-coding RNA, 371 nt
Filed under: Monodelphis domestica (gray short-tailed opossum)
Lineage: Eukaryota; Metazoa; Chordata; Mammalia; Didelphimorphia; Didelphidae
Description: lncRNA (ENSMODG00000039090.1)
Source: RNAcentral
AAGGGAGCGGAAAGUUUCCGCCUUUUCUGUCAGAGCCUCCCUGUGUCACUGUGGCUAGCAUUCAGCUGGGCCACAGCAAAGGACGGGAAGUUGCCUGUGGACAGUGUGAGAAGAAGUUUUGAAGAUGAGAAUCAUGAUCAGACAUUGCUAGCUGUUCUCUUAUAACCUUGUCAUUUACCUGACACAUAUAUGAUGGGGAGGACAAUGUGGAAAGGAAAACUGGAAAAAAGGACUUCCGACUUCAUCUUGGUGUAGGGGUGACCUGGGUUUUCCUUCAGCCAUUGUUUAGCAUGGCCAUGCCAAUUGAGAGAGCCAAGCAGGCUCUCCCGCCUGAAGAUCAUACAACGUCAAAGGCAAGUGCUCAAGGCUCU